Regulatory RNA element from Paenibacillus sp. Leaf72, 110 nucleotides. It matches the Rfam family "epsC RNA". The record is from Rfam. Lineage: Bacteria; Bacillati; Bacillota; Bacilli; Caryophanales; Paenibacillaceae.
AGGUCAUGCCUAUAACACCUUUAUCAGGGUAGGCACUCGGUCACGCUGUGGGUCAAGCGACCUUAGACAUGAUUGUCGAGGGUGUGAUGUGAGGAAGGGUUAAAUGCCCU